This 727-nucleotide ribosomal RNA is filed under the name Helotiales sp. SC7-1. Its description in RNAcentral is "eukaryotic LSU rRNA". The stretch from base 392 to 545 matches the Rfam family "5.8S ribosomal RNA". The record is from RNAcentral. Lineage: Eukaryota; Fungi; Ascomycota; Leotiomycetes; Helotiales.
AAGUCGUAACAAGGUUUCCGUAGGUUGCUGAGGUUUGCCUACGUUGCUAGUCUACUUAAUUGUGGGCAAUAUCUCUACUGUGCUAGGAAUCACUCUUUGUGUGCUACUAGCAGCUCGAGCAAUUCGAGUUCACAGGUCAAAUAGAGGUGGCUCUUUUAAAGGGUUAAGAUAUGAUCGAGCUGCAGUUCUGGUGAGCUGUGAGGAAAAGUGGAACCUGCGGAAGGAUCAUUACAGAGAACAUGCCCCUUGGGGUAUAUCUCCCACCCUUUGUUUACAAUACCUCUGUUGCUUUGGCGGGCCCGUCUCACGACCACCGGCUCCGGCUGGUCCGUGCCUGCCAGAGGACCCAAAUCUCUAUCAUUAUGAUGUCUGAAUACAGUAUAAUAAUUAAAACUUUCAACAACGGAUCUCUUGGUUCUGGCAUCGAUGAAGAACGCAGCGAAAUGCGAUAAGUAAUGUGAAUUGCAGAAUUCAGUGAAUCAUCGAAUCUUUGAACGCACAUUGCACCCUCUGGUAUUCCGGGGGGUAUGCCUGUUCGAGCGUCAUUUCAACCCUCAAGCUCUGCUUGGUAUUAGAUGUCACCACUUGUGGUGUGUCCCAAAAGCAUUGGCGGUGGCAUUUGGCUUCUAGUGUAGUAAUUUUCUCGCUCUGGAGCCCUAAGUGUCUGCCUGCCAGAACUCUUAUCAAGGUUGACCUCGGAUCAGGUAGGGAUACCCGCUGAACUUAA